Molecule: long non-coding RNA, 1731 nt
Organism: Oncorhynchus masou masou (cherry salmon)
Lineage: Eukaryota; Metazoa; Chordata; Actinopteri; Salmoniformes; Salmonidae
Exons: 2
Source: RefSeq, a predicted model, not a curated record
GUACGGCUGUAGCUGUAGAGUGCUACUCGUACUGCUGUAGCUGUAGAGUGCUACUCGUAUGGCUGUAGCUGUAGAGUGCUACUCGUACUGCUGUAGCUGUAGAGUGCUACUCGUAUGGCUGUAGCUGUAGAGUGCUACUCGUACUGCUGUAGCUGUAGAGUGCUACUCGUACGGCUGUAGCUGUAGAGUGCUACUCGUAUGGCUGUAGCUGUAGAGUGCUACUCGUACUGCUGUAGCUGUAGAGUGCUACUCGUAUGGCUGUAGCUGUAGAGUGCUACUUCCAGGCUUCCAGCCCCCCCCCCCAUCACUCCCACUCUACUUCCAGGCUUCCACCCCCCCCCAUCACUCCCACUCUACUUCCAGGCUUCCAGCCCCCCCAUUGACAUUAACGACUAAGAAAAACAGCCCGUCAGUAUCCUUAAAGAAUGUCCAGUAAGACAAGUUGACUCCAGCUCAUCUGCCUGAUCUUUGUGCUGCUACUGCCAAUGCUUUUUGCCUUACAGGUUACCUAUUUGUGUAUUGUUUUUAAAACCAGUAAUAAUGGUCUAUUUAACUGAAUGAAUCUAGGAGGUUUUAGAUUGUGUUUUUAGCUCUUGGUUUUUUGGUGGUGGUGGUGGUGGGGGGGGGGGGGGUCACUGUGGAACCGUGCUGUGUGGGCUGAGGCCAGUGGGAUAGCUGGAGGGAAGGGGAAUCUAAUCAGUGUCUUGUCCAUACUGAGCCUCCUGACACCUUUUUAUAGGCCAUCCUUGGUUAGAGCACCAACCAGUAGGACUACUGGACUGGUCUUGGGUCAGUCCUAUCACUCCAGGUCAUCCUUGGUUAGAGCACCAACCAGUAGGACUACUGGACUGGUCUUGGGUCAGUCCUAUCCACUGGUCUUUGGUCAGUCCUAUCCACUGGUCUUGGGUCAGUCCUAUCCACUGGUCUUGGGUCAGUCCUAUCCACUGGUCUUGGGUCAGUCCUAUCCACUGGUCUUGGGUCAGUCCUAUCCACUGGUCUUGGGUCAGUCCUAUCCACUGGUCUUGGGUCAGUCCUAUCCACUGGUCUUGGGUCAGUCCUAUCACUCCAGAUCAGACGAGUUCUGAGCACGUUAGUUUCCGUUUCAUCAAAGAACAGCGUAGCCUACAGUUGUAACAGUUGCAAAGAAAGACCGUCUCUUAAAGGUGAGACAACCAGUUAACCCGUUACCCACAACACAGCUUUGAGCUUAGUGUAGAGAGCCAAGAUCUAGAACCCUGUAGCCAUGCUUGGUUUCAUCAAGGAAAUGUAUACCAAGGUGAUGCAGAAGCUCUCUCUAGUGUAUCUAUUGGCUAUCAGUGGCAGAAGGCUUCAGGACCGCUGGUGUGCUUCCUAGCUGGUCCUCAGCCCCAGAUCAUGAUGGUACUCAGGCUGUCCAGCAGUGAUGUGGGUUUGUACAGUACCUUGUUAUUUACUACUGAAUCCCUGAACUUUGUACAGCAAAACGAGAAAGAACGAUCGCAUGGAUACUUUGUUACUGUAAUUAAUAACCUAUACUGUAUAUUAUGACUUUUCUGAUAACUUACAUGACAUCAAUGAAACUUACUUACUUACCAACAGCAAGAAACUAUUUCAGUUUUACUUUCAGCUCAUCUAAGCAUCUCCAUUUUUCUUGUCGACGAGAAGAAGGUUGUUUGAUUUAUCAUUGCUGUUGUUUUUUUACGGUUGCUAGGAGAGAAGAAAAUGACUCAAAUAAACAAAUAAUCAUCAUAA